AAUAGUCCUGUAUGUUAAACGAGAAGACUUUAGAUAUGAUCCAGAGUACCACGGGACACGUGAAACCCUGUGGGAAGCAGGAGGGACCACCCUCCAAGGCUAAAUACUACCUAGUGACCGAUAGCGUAUAGUACCGUGAGGGAAAGGUGAAAAGAACCCCGGGAGGGGAGUGAAAUAGAACCUGAAACCCUGCACUUACAAGCUGUGGAAGCACAUUUCUUGUGUGACCGCGUACUUUUUGUAGAACGGGCCAACGAGUUACGUUAAGUAGCAAGGUUAAGCACUUAAGGUGUGGAGCCGUAGCGAAAGCGAGUUUUAACUGAGCGUUCAGUUACUUGACGUAGACCCGAAACCGGGCGACCUACCCAUGAGCAGGAUGAAGCGAAAGUAAAAUUUCGUGGAGGUCCGAACCCACGAGCGUUGAAAAGCUCGGGGAUGACUUGUGGGUAGCGGUGAAAUUCCAAUCGAGCCCGGAGAUAGCUGGUUCUCCCCGAAAUAGCUUUAGGGCUAGCCUCAAGGUGAGAGAUACGGAGGUAGAGCACUGAAUGUCCUAGGGGGUAUUGCACCUACCGAAGACUAUCAAACUCCGAAUGCCGUCAUCUUAUACUUGGGAGUCAGACUGUGGGUGAUAAGAUUCAUAGUCGAAAGGGCAACAGCCCAGAUCGUCAGCUAAGGUCCCUAAAUGUAAGUUAAGUGGUAAAGGAUGUGGGAUUGCACAGACAACCAGGAUGUUGGCUUAGAAGCAGCCACUCAUUCAAAGAGUGCGUAAUAGCUCACUGGUCGAGUGAUCCUGCGCCGAAGAUUUCCGGGGCUAAAACUUACUACCGAAGCUACGGCAUCAGUAAUGAUGGGUAGGGGAGCUUCCCAUACGGGUUGAAGCAUGACCGUAAGGACAUGUGGACAGUAUGGGAGUGAGAAUGUUGGCAUGAGUAGCGAGAUGUGGGUGAGAAUCCCACAGGCCGUAAACCCAAGGUUUCCAGGGGAAGGUUCGUCCGCCCUGGGUUAGUCGGGACCUAAGCUGAGGCCGAAAGGCGUAGGUGAUGGACAACAGGUUGAUAUUCCUGUACUACCGAUAACCGUUUGAGAGAAGGGAUGACACAGUAGGAUAAGCUAAGCACACUGUUGGUUAUGUGUGCCCAAGCAUUGAGGCAGUCAAAGUAGGCAAAUCCGCUUUGAUAAUGCUGGGAUGUGAUGGGGAGCGAAAUUUAGUAGCGAAGUAGCUGAUUUCACACUGUCAAGAAAAGUCUCUAUCGAGGUUAAAGGUACCCGUACCGCAAACCGACACAGGUGGGUGAGGAGAGUAUCCUAAGGCCAGCGAGAGAACUGUUGUUAAGGAACUCGGCAAAAUGACCCCGUAACUUAGGGAUAAGGGGUGCCACCAUCAGGUGGCCGCAGAGAAUAGGCCCAAGCGACUGUUUACCAAAAACAUAGGUUUCUGCUAAGUCGCAAGACGAUGUAUAGGAGCUGACGCCUGCCCGGUGCUGGAAGGUUAAGGGGAUCUGUUAGAGCAAUCGAAGCAGUGAACUUAAGCCCCAGUAAACGGCGGCCGUAACUAUAACGGUCCUAAGGUAGCGAAAUUCCUUGUCGGGUAAGUUCCGACCCGCACGAAAGGCGUAACGAUUUGGGCACUGUCUCAACAACAGACUCGGUGAAAUUGUAAUUCCGGUGAAGAUGCCGGAUACCUGCGACAGGACGGAAAGACCCCAUGGAGCUUUACUGUAGCUUGACAUUGGGUCUUGGUACUACAUGUACAGGAUAGGUGGGAGGCUUUGAAACCAGGACGCCAGUUUUGGCGGAGCCAUCCUUGGGAUACCACCCUUGUAGUACUGGGACUCUAACCAUAGGCCAUGAAUCUGGUCUUGGGACACUGUCAGGUGGGCAGUUUGACUGGGGCGGUCGCCUCCCAAAAGGUAACGGAGGCGCUCAAAGGUUCUCUCAGUACGGUCGGAAAUCGUACGUAGAGUGUAAAGGCAAAAGAGAGCUUGAUUGCAAGACAUACAGGUCGAGCAAGGAUGAAAAUCGGACUUAGUGAUCCGGUGGUUCUGCGUGGAAGGGCCAUCGCUCAACGGAUAAAAGCUACCCUGGGGAUAACAGGCUUAUCUCCCCCAAGAGUCCACAUCGACGGGGAGGUUUGGCACCUCGAUGUCGGCUCAUCACAUCCUGGGGCUGUAGUAGGUCCCAAGGGUUGGGCUGUUCGCCCAUUAAAGUGGUACGCGAGCUGGGUUCAGAACGUCGUGAGACAGUUCGGUCCCUAUCCGUCGCAGGCGUAGGAAAUUUGAGAAGACCUGUCCUUAGUACGAGAGGACCGGGAUGGACGUACCUCUGGUGUACCAGUUGUCCUGCCAAGGGCAUGGCUGGGUAGCUAUGUACGGAAUGGAUAAGCGCUGAAAGCAUCUAAGCGCGAAGCCAACUUCAAGAUAAGAUUUCCCACCGCAAGGGUAAGACCCCAGAAAGACUAUCUGGUUGAUAGGUCGAAGGUGUAAGUGCAGCAAUGUAUUUAGCUUAUCGAUACUAAUAGGUCGAGGACUUGACCAA
Molecule: ribosomal RNA, 2535 nt
Filed under: Clostridioides difficile
Lineage: Bacteria; Bacillati; Bacillota; Clostridia; Peptostreptococcales; Peptostreptococcaceae
Description: partial 23S ribosomal RNA
Rfam family: Bacterial large subunit ribosomal RNA
Source: RNAcentral